Nerophis ophidion (straightnose pipefish) is the source of this 871-nucleotide long non-coding RNA. RefSeq lists it as uncharacterized. NCBI's taxonomy places the organism in Eukaryota, Metazoa, Chordata, Actinopteri, Syngnathiformes, Syngnathidae. The transcript is spliced from 2 exons. The record is from RefSeq and is a predicted model, not a curated record.
ACCAAGUUGGAAUUCAAGCGUCACACAUCCUGGAAGGUCCCAGUUCCUGUAACUUCUUUAAGUGUCGAAGGAAAACGAAAGACUGAUUUAACGCGGGGCCCCCAGGGUCUGCAUGACUCAUCUAGUGGAGUCCUCUAUCCGGGCCCUCAGGUUAGGAAAGUUUUUUGUUCUUUUCCAGGGCCAGUUUUGCCAUGAAAUAAUUACUUAGUCAGGCUUUUGGAAACAAGAUGGUCAUCUCUCUUGGCGGCUUGACUCCUUUCAUUACGGGGCCGCUUUCAGCGCACGGCAUCCAGGAAUACUUUUAUGGCCAAUGUGUUGACGCUGAUAUCAGACUGAUAUCAACAAAUACAUGCGGACUAUUGACACAGAGCCUGACAUCCGCUUGGCGGCGGCCCAGCUCGCCGGCCUUAAUUGGCCCGGAGACCUCUUGUUGGUGUGAUCUAUCGAUCAGACCGGCUGCAGAUCCCGCUAAGUCACAGGGAGAGGACAGCCAUAGUCCCAUACACACACCGGGGGGGGAAAAAAGGGAAAACGCCCGCCAAAUCCUGCCGCCGUGAUGUCUUCAGCCCGACCGUUCUCCCGGCAGCUGCAGAAAUGACGUGGAGGGUGUUCACCCCAAGGUGCACCGCAGGGGGGGGAGGUCUGGAUCCUUGGCGCAAAGUUGAUUCACAUCCAGUGAUUGUCUUUUAUGGUUACCACAGGGAGGAAUGGCGGGCCAAAAAAUGAGUUUUCUGAAUGCUCUGACCCCUGAGGAUCUAUAGACAUUGUCGGCUUUAACAAUCCCGCCAGACGCAGCCGGAUGAAAAAGUCCUCCACGCUCGCAAAAUCCACUUUUUGUGUGAUACCUAUGCUGCAAAUCUUGGGGGGUUGG